RNAcentral lists this ribosomal RNA (484 nucleotides) under uncultured bacterium. RNAcentral describes it as "partial 16S ribosomal RNA". It matches the Rfam family "Bacterial small subunit ribosomal RNA", at positions 30 to 507 of the family's 1533-position model. The record is from RNAcentral.
AUUGAACGCUGGCGGCAGGCCUAACACAUGCAAGUCGAGCGGAUGAAGGGAGCUUGCUCCUGGAUUCAGCGGCGGACGGGUGAGUAAUGCCUAGGAAUCUGCCUGGUAGUGGGGGAUAACGUCCGGAAACGGGGGCUAAUACCGAAUACGUCCUGAGGGAGAAAGUGGGGGGUCUUCGGACCUCACGCUAUCAGAUGAGCCUAGGUCGGAUUAGCGAGUUGGUGGGGUAAAGGCCUACCAAGGCGACGAUCCGUAACUGGUCUGAGAGGAUGAUCAGUCACACUGGAACUGAGACACGGUCCAGACUCCUACGGGAGGCAGCAGUGGGGAAUAUUGGACAAUGGGCGAAAGCCUGAUCCAGCCAUGCCGCGUGUGUGAAGAAGGUCUUCGGAUUGUAAAGCACUUUAAGUUGGGAGGAAGGGCAGUAAGUUAAUACCUUGCUGUUUUGACGUUACCAACAGAAUAAGCACCGGCUAACUUCGUG